CACAAGUUAGAAAGUGGAGGCACAGGAGGAAAACCAGAGUUGCUGAGCCCCUGCAGUAUGCCAAGGAAGAGGCCACUGAGUGACUCAAGCCAGGUCCUCCCAAGCUCAAUCCUGCUUUACUUAGGUAGCGGCUGUGCCUGGUCUUGAGCACCUGUCCCGGUCCAGGCCUUCUCACCUUCAUUGUCAUCCCUCAUCCUUCCGAGUCCCUCAAAGUACUCCACACCCCUGGACCUACCUCAGCCCCCACAGCCCGAGCCGCUGCAGAGUGGCCGCCCACAGCCUCCUCCCGGCCGCCUGCCCAGCUCCCCCUGGACGACCUGGAGGAGCUCAGUGAGGCCCUGAGCCGCGCCGUGAGGGCCGCCAGGAGCGUCCGCGUCACCACCAGACACAUGCGCCACUCCCUGCUGGCCGCCCUGCACCAGGCCCGCGGCCCAUGGGGCUCCUGCCUCUUCUGACCCCCUCGCGGCUCAGAGAUGGGUGGGCGGCAGGAGGGCCCGGCAGCCAGAGGCCGGAAGGAGCCCGGAGACACCCCCCAGCAGGAGGUGACCCCCCAGCAAGGCCCCGCCUGCUCAGUCUGGGUUUUUCAAGGGAGGGGGCAUCACGGGUCAUCCAGAGAGUAACUUCUUGGGGGACCAGCCUCCUGAAGGCAGGGAGGGGACCAAGGCCUCUUCUGUACAGGCUGAGCCCCUGGGAGGGUUUUCUCCUCCUCCUGCACUUGCCCGCUCCAGCUAAUAAGAUGUAAUUUAUGUGUGAUUGGACACGUGGUUUUGUAAACUGAGGCUUAUUUCUGGUCUUGGAGACAGCUCAGGAGGAUGGAAAAGAAGG
Choloepus didactylus (southern two-toed sloth) is the source of this 825-nucleotide long non-coding RNA. RefSeq lists it as uncharacterized. The transcript has 3 exons. The record is from RefSeq and is a predicted model, not a curated record. Lineage: Eukaryota; Metazoa; Chordata; Mammalia; Pilosa; Megalonychidae.